Long non-coding RNA from Oreochromis niloticus (Nile tilapia), 485 nucleotides. RefSeq lists it as uncharacterized. Lineage: Eukaryota; Metazoa; Chordata; Actinopteri; Cichliformes; Cichlidae. The record is from RefSeq and is a predicted model, not a curated record. The transcript is spliced from 3 exons.
AUGUCCAUCACCGCUCGAGCUGUGGUGUCCACCCUCUGUACACCACAACGUGGAAGGAGAUACACGAGGCAAAGAAAAAAAUUACAGCUCUGCCACCAUCGGGACCAAUCUGUGAUACGUCCGGGCGCCUUGAGGGGGCAGCAGUCUGACACAACGAGGCCAGACACAGCCCUCAGAGGAAAAAUGCUUUCAGGGAAUGUCACGAUGCGUGACUGAAGAAAUCAUGAAAGCUAAGGGAAAGGAGACAACAAGGUGAAGUGAGCAGCAGUGGUGGCAGUGUGACGACCCAUACACAGAACUGUAAAAUGCACGGUUGGCUGCUGGGAUAUAACAGUAGUGUCGUAGUAGAUGACACGCAACCUGUGACGUCAGAGAGACGCAGUGCUGAUUUACGCAAGCACACGGACUCGAGGCUGCUUUGUGGUCCCGCCAGAUGGAGACGCAAAGCACAGAUACGGUUUCCACUGCAUAUCUUUGGCCAGGUU